ACGAACGCUGGCGGCGUGCUUAACACCUGCAAGUCGAACGGAAAGGCCCUGCUUUUGUGGGGUGCUCGAGUGGCGAACGGGUGAGUAACACGUGAGUAACCUGCCCUUGACUUUGGGAUAACUUCAGGGAACUGGGGCUAAUACCGGAUAGGAGCUCCUGCUGCAUGGUGGGGGUUGGAAAGUUUCGGCGGUUGGGGAUGGACUCGCGGCUUAUCAGCUUGUUGGUGGGGUAGUGGCUUACCAAGGCUUUGACGGGUAGCCGGCCUGAGAGGGUGACCGGCCACAUUGGGACUGAGAUACGGCCCAGACUCCUACGGGAGGCAGCAGUGGGGAAUAUUGCACAAUGGGCGGAAGCCUGAUGCAGCAACGCCGCGUGCGGGAUGACGGCCUUCGGGUUGUAAACCGCUUUCGCCUGUGACGAAGCGUGAGUGACGGUAAUGGGUAAAGAGGCACCGGCUAACUACGUG
RNAcentral lists this ribosomal RNA (467 nucleotides) under uncultured bacterium. Its description in RNAcentral is "partial 16S ribosomal RNA". It matches the Rfam family "Bacterial small subunit ribosomal RNA", at positions 29 to 507 of the family's 1533-position model. The record is from RNAcentral.